AGGGAAAGGUGAAAAGGACCCCGGGAGGGGAGUGAAAGAGAACCUGAAACCUUAUGCUUACAAGCAGAGGGAGCGAAAGUGACCUCGUACUUUUUGUAGAACGGGCCAACGAGUUAUGGUGUGCAGCGAGGUUAAGGUGUUCAGCACCGGAGCCGAAGGGAAACCGAGUCUUAAUAGGGCGAGAAGUUGUAUGCUGUAGACCCGAAACCGGGUGACCUAUCCAUGAGCAGGUUGAAGUAACUGUAAAAGGUUAUGGAGGACCGAACCCAUAUCUGUUGAAAAAGGUUGGGAUGACUUGUGGAUAGCGGUGAAAUUCCAAUCGAACCCGGAGAUAGCUGGUUCUCCUCGAAAUAGCUUUAGGGCUAGCCUCGCAGCAAGAUAUCCGGAGGUAGAGCACUGAAUGUUCUAGGGGCCUUCACCGGUUACCGAAAACUAUCAAACUCCGAAUGCCGGAAUAUCAUAUGCGGGAGUCAGACUAUGUGAGAUAAGUUUCAUAGUCGAAAGGGAAACAGCCCAGACCUACAGCUAAGGUCCCAAAAUGUAAGUUAAGUGGAAAAGGAUGUGGAGCUGCAUAAACAGCUAGGAUGUUGGCUUAGAAGCAGCCACUCAUUUAAAGAGUGCGUAAUAGCUCACUAGUCGAGUGGCUCUGCGCCGAAGAUAAACGGGGCUAAAACUUACUACCGAAGCUUAGGAUACAGAAAUGUAUGGUAGAGGAGCAUUGUGUAUGGGCAGAAGCCGAAUCGGAAGGUGAGGUGGACUGUACACAAGAGAGAAUGUUGGCAUGAGUAGCGCAAGGCAGGUGAGAAUCCUGCCCGCCGAAAAUCUAAGGUUUCCUGAGGAAGGUUCGUCCGCUCAGGGUUAGUCGGGGCCUAAGGCGAGGUCGAAAGACGUAGUCGAUGGAUAACAGGUAGAGAUUCCUGUACCACCGGAGGUCGCAUGAGAGAAGUGGGGACACAGAAGGAUAGACUGAGCACGCCGCUGGUAGAGCGUGUCCAAGCGUCAAGGGAGUAGAAGUAGGCAAAUCCGCUUUUACAAUUCUGAGGCGUGACGGGGUGGCAAUAGAGCCGGAAGCAGUCGAUUUCACGCUGUCAAGAAAAGCCGCUAUCAAGACCCGAGGUGCCCGUACCGCAAACCGACACAGGUAGAUGAGGAGAGAAUCCUAAGGCGAGCGAGAGAACCAUUGUUAAGGAACUCGGCAAAAUGACCCCGUAACUUCGGGAGAAGGGGUGCCUGCUUCGGCAGGCCGCAGUGAAAAGGCCCAGGCAACUGUUUACCAAAAACACAGGUCUCUGCAAAAGCGAAAGCUGAAGUAUAGGGGCUGACGCCUGCCCGGUGCUGGAAGGUUAAGGGGAACACUUAGCGCAAGCGAAGGUUUGAACUUAAGCCCCAGUAAACGGCGGCCGUAACUAUAACGGUCCUAAGGUAGCGAAAUUCCUUGUCGGGUAAGUUCCGACCCGCACGAAAGGCGUAAUGAUCUGGGCACUGUCUCAACAAUGGACUCGGUGAAAUUGUAGUACCGGUAAAGAUGCCGGUUACCCGCAGCAGGACGGAAAGACCCCGUGGAGCUUUACUGUAGCUUGAUAUUGAGUUUCGGCGUUGCAUGUACAGGAUAGGUGGGAGACUGCGAGACCAGUACGCCAGUAUUGGAGGAGUCACCGUUGGGAUACCACCCUUGUAACGUUGGGAUUCUAACCUGAUGCCGUAAACCGGCAUAGGGACAGUGUCAGGUGGGCAGUUUGACUGGGGCGGUCGCCUCCUAAAGAGUAACGGAGGCGCCCAAAGGUUCCCUCAGCGCGGACGGAAAUCGCGCGAAGAGUGCAAAGGCAGAAGGGAGCUUGACUGCAAGACAAACAGGUCGAGCAGGGACGAAAGUCGGGCUUAGUGAUCCGGUGGUGCCGAGUGGAAGGGCCAUCGCUCAACGGAUAAAAGCUACCCCGGGGAUAACAGGCUGAUACCCCCCAAGAGUUCACAUCGACGGGGGUGUUUGGCACCUCGAUGUCGGCUCGUCACAUCC
This 2014-nucleotide ribosomal RNA is filed under the name human gut metagenome. RNAcentral's name for it is "bacterial LSU rRNA". It matches the Rfam family "Bacterial large subunit ribosomal RNA", at positions 506 to 2547 of the family's 2925-position model. The record is from RNAcentral.